This 468-nucleotide ribosomal RNA is filed under the name uncultured bacterium. RNAcentral's name for it is "partial 16S ribosomal RNA". It matches the Rfam family "Bacterial small subunit ribosomal RNA", at positions 28 to 507 of the family's 1533-position model. The record is from RNAcentral.
GACGAACGCUGGCGGCGUGCUUAACACAUGCAAGUCGAACGGAAAGGCCCUGCUUUUGUGGGGUGCUCGAGUGGCGAACGGGUGAGUAACACGUGAGUAACCUGCCCUUGACUUUGGGAUAACUUCAGGAAACUGGGGCUAAUACCGGAUAGGAGCUCCUGCUGCCUGGUGGGGGUUGGUCAGUUUCGGCGGUUGGGGAUGGACUCGCGGCUUAUCAGCUUGUUGGUUGGGUAGUGGAUUACCAAGGCUUUGCCGGGUAGCCGGCCUGGGCGGGGGGCCGGCCAAAUUGGAGCUGAGAUACGGCCCAGACGCCUACGGGAGGCAGCAGUGGGGAAUAUUGCACAAUGGGCGGAAGCCUGAUGCAGCAACGCCGCGUGCGGGAUGACGGCCUUCGGGUUGUAAACCGCUUUCGCCUGUGACGAAGCGUGAGUGACGGUAAUGGGUAAAGAAGCACCGGCUAACUACGUG